RNAcentral lists this ribosomal RNA (454 nucleotides) under uncultured bacterium. RNAcentral describes it as "bacterial SSU rRNA". It matches the Rfam family "Bacterial small subunit ribosomal RNA", at positions 1054 to 1501 of the family's 1533-position model. The record is from RNAcentral.
GUCAGCUCGUGUCGUGAGAUGUUGGGUUAAGUCCCGCAACGAGCGCAACCCUCGAGAUUUGUUGUUACAGACUGUAAAGGUGCUGAACCCUCAAAUUUGACUGCCGGUGACAAGCCGGAGGAAGGUGGGGAUGACGUCAAAUCAUCACGCCCCUUAUGUCCAGGGCUACACACGUGUUACAAUGGGACAGGACAACGGGUUGCUUUGCUGCGAAGUAUGGCUAAUCCUUAAACCUGCCCUCAGUUCGGAUCGUAGUCUGCAACUCGACUACGUGAAGUCGGAAUCGCUAGUAAAGGCGGAUCAGAACGCCGCCUUGAAUACGUUCCCGGGCCUUGUACACACCGCCCGUCACACCACGAAAGAAGGCUAUGCCCGAAGUCGGUCAGCCAACCCUUUGGGAGGCAGCUGCCUAAGGUAGAGCUUUUGAUUGGGGUGAAGUCGUAACAAGGUAACC